UACGGAGGGGGCUAGCGGUGUUCGGAAUUACUGGGCGUAAAGCGCACGUAGGCGGCUUUGUAAGUUAGAGGUGAAAGCCCGGGGCUCAACUCCGGAAUUGCCUUUAAGACUGCAUCGCUAGAAUUGUGGAGAGGUAAGUGGAAUUCCGAGUGUAGAGGUGAAAUUCGUAGAUAUUCGGAAGAACACCAGUGGCGAAGGCGACUUACUGGACACAUAUUGACGCUGAGGUGCGAAAGCGUGGGGAUCAAACAGG
RNAcentral lists this ribosomal RNA (253 nucleotides) under uncultured bacterium. RNAcentral describes it as "partial 16S ribosomal RNA". It matches the Rfam family "Bacterial small subunit ribosomal RNA", at positions 524 to 776 of the family's 1533-position model. The record is from RNAcentral.